CCUACGGGAGGCAGCAGUGAGGAAUAUUGGUCAAUGGACGCAAGUCUGAACCAGCCAUGCCGCGUGCAGGAAGACGGCCCUAUGAGUUGUAAACUGCUUUUGUACGAGGGUAAACGCAGAUACGUGUAUUUGUUUGAAAGUACCGUACGAAUAAGGAUCGGCUAACUCCGUGCCAGCAGCCGCGGUAAUACGGAGGAUUCGAGCGUUAUCCGGAUUUAUUGGGUUUAAAGGGUGCGUAGGCGGUCGGUUAAGUGAGAGGUGAAAUCCCGAGGCUCAACUUCGGAAUUGCCUCUGAAACUGGUCGGCUAGAGAGUAGUAGAGGUAGGCGGAAUGUGUGGUGUAGCGGUGAAAUGCUUAGAGAUCAUACAGAACACCGAUUGCGAAGGCAGCUUAC
Molecule: ribosomal RNA, 394 nt
Filed under: uncultured bacterium
Lineage: Bacteria
Description: partial 16S ribosomal RNA
Rfam family: Bacterial small subunit ribosomal RNA
Source: RNAcentral